GAUAAGAACGCAGCGAAAUGCGAUAAGUAGUGUGAAUUGCAGAAUUCAGUGAAUCAUCGAAUCUUUGAACGCACAUUGCGCCCCAUGGUAUUCCGUGGGGCAUGCCUGUUCGAGCGUCAUUUACCCCCUCAAGCUCCGCUUGGUGUUGGGCGUCUGUCCCGCUUCGCGCGCGGACUCGCCCCAAAGGUAUUGGCAGCGGUCGUGCCAGCUUCUCGCGCAGCACAUUGCGCUUCUCGAGGCACCGGUGGGCCCGCGUCCAUCAAGCUCACCCCCCCAGUUUGACCUCGGAUCAGGUAGGGAUACCCGCUGAACUUAAGCAUAUCAAUAAGCGGAGGA
Molecule: unclassified non-coding RNA, 336 nt
Filed under: soil metagenome
Description: partial contains 5.8S ribosomal RNA, internal transcribed spacer 2, and large subunit ribosomal RNA
Rfam family: 5.8S ribosomal RNA (bases 4-119)
Source: RNAcentral